RNAcentral lists this long non-coding RNA (1498 nucleotides) under Malus domestica (apple). Its description in RNAcentral is "long non-coding RNA (MDOM_LNC011285)". The record is from RNAcentral. Lineage: Eukaryota; Viridiplantae; Streptophyta; Magnoliopsida; Rosales; Rosaceae.
UACUUCUUCAAUCGAUCCAUUGUCCAUGGAUUCACUAUUUAGGACAUAUAUCGUUUAUAGAGAUAGUCCUAAAUAGUAUCUUUGCCAUUUGAUGUAUAAGAGUCAUCUAUACAUCUAUUUAUUGUCCCCAAAGGUUUCUUCCAAAGAUUGACUUUCAGGGCAUAUUUCCAACAAAUUAAGGGUCGAUAAUUAAUUGGCAUGCAUAAAUCCGUUGCUAGAAUAUAAGGAAGUUUCACAUAAUCGUUACAAACUUAUAUUCACAUGUAGUGAAGGUGGCUUAUAAACGAUCGCGUUAAGUUCAAUUCCUAGCAUGAGUGACAUGAUGUCAUAGUUGCAAGUGCUUUCUUAACGCUUAUGAUUUUCAUUAAACGUAAUGAUCUUUUAUUGUAUCUCUAUUAUGAUGUCAUGUAGGGAACUUUAGAAUAAUGUUUUGGGUUGUCGAAUGAUGUCAUCCAAUCCAAUAAAACAAGGAAAAUCUGAAAGUUAAUUAGUGAUGUCACGGUUAAUUUAGAGCAUUGUCGUUCAUAAUUCAAUGAAGUAGUAACUGGAAAUUGAGUUAUUUGCUUACAUGUCAUGUGUGGAGAAAAAGCCUCUAGCUAUCCCAUCCAUCAUCUUAUUUCUUAAAUUUGUUUUACAAUCUGUCUAGUUUUUUCAUACUUGUUUGUUUGUUUCAACUUCGUCCAAAACUCAAUCCCUCUAUACUUUAGUGUGUCUAAUUAGUUAGAAUAUGUUUUAAUUUGUGUUUUUAAAUGUUUUGAUUCAAGUAAAAGUCAAUUUUCAUCCAAAGUCAUUCCUAGUGUCUAGUUUAAGUUUAUUUAGUUGCUCUAAACUGAUUUGAGUAUUUUAAGUUUGCUUUGAGUCUUGUGAGUCUUGUUAAGUAUUUUUAAGUUUAGUUUUAUAUUUUUGAGUCAGUUUAGAGGUUAUUAGCAAGCCCUCUUAAUCCCCGGUCCAGAACGAUCCCUACUUAUACUUAUACUACAGUUGUCAAAAGAGGGUUAAAUUUGUGUGUUGAGAUAAUUUUCGCAUUAGCGGUCAAUAUUUUAUUUUAUGAACUUACAAAUCCAAUUCGGGAAGAUCCGUACGUUGGAUUCCCGAUUCGUAAGUUUCUAUUGUUCUCAAAUAUUAUGUACAAUAAUGUAUUAAAGUUUGGUGACGAUCCAACGAUCGGAUCGUCGAUUCAUACAAUGACCUAUUAAUGUAUCAUAGAGAUUUUAUGUUCCAACAAUCAAUCUAUGUCAUACAAUUACCAAGACUGAACUCAAGGCAUCUAAUUUAGCCUAAAAAUGACAUCGACGGCCCCCUGGCCACGCGCCGCCGUGGGUGGCAGUCGGUCGUCCCGACUCACCAGAAAAUCCAACUAUUUCCAAAAAUUACCAAAAUUUACAGAAUUGAAGAUCUCAAUGAGUAGAAUAACUUUCAUAUCAGUGACCAAGGUCAAUUUGGCCAGGAAAAGCUCCCAAAUCGCAAUGAACCCGUCGAAACCCUACACUUUGGGUGU